AUGGUGGGAGUUGAGUGGAUGUUUGCAGGGGGCAAAGCACAGUCCUGCUCUGGUGCACGGUGGGGAUGGAGCCACAUCGAACACCUGGCUGUGGAGGUCACUGCUAGAGCUCUGUGAGCAGGGCAGAUAAAGGUCAACUGCAAGAACACCGCUUCCCAAUGGACGGGUUCAUGGGAGGUCUGUUGCAGAGCAAGCCCUGCUAUUGUCCCAGCCUGAGUGCCCACGGCUGCACCCUGGAUGGGUCGAUUCCUACCCCAUAGUUGCUGAGGACAGUCCUAAGCUCCACUGCCGGCAGCUGGUAGGAAGCCUUCUUCACAGUUCUUCCUGGAUCUCCCUGGAAACUGCCGGAAGCAACUUCCUUUUGUUGCACAGGACUUCCGGUUCUUGCCUUGUACGGUGAUCUGGGCUGGAGGUAGACUCUCACCCUCAGCAUUGCCAGCACAACGGAUUUAACGGCAUCCAGGGAUUGGGAGGGUUUUCCAAAGCUCUGCUUCCCUUGCAAAACUGAGUAAACAGAACAUGGUCUUUCAGGGAUCAAGAAAUGUCUGUGCCUGGGGGCAAAGCUUUGCUGGAAUGAAAGGAGGAGCUUCCGGGUGGCUCAGGCUGUCCUCGGAUACAAGCAAACCUCUCCUGAUUGAUCAUGGCAGUUGUUUUAAGAAGGAAAUCAUGUACAAGAAGGAUCACUGAGUAGUGUCAUGAUUUCAACAAAAGUGCUUCGUAGGCUCUGCCAGCCAUUCCCUACCGAGUCAGGGUGUGUGCGAGUGACAGUGAGGUGAACCCCAGUGGAAUGUUCUGGUGAGUCCUUCGCCUCUGUGACGCUCAGUCUCUCCUCCCAAAGAUGCCUGGCUCUUUACCAAGAAAUUGCUCUAGAUGAUGGAGAACUUAAACACAUAUGGAAAACAUGAGAAAUACAAAUGGAUGAAGGGUUUUUUCUUUUUUUAUUUAUGUUUCAGCUUAUUUGAAAGAUAGAGAGACAGAGAUCUUCUGUUCAUUGCUUCACUUCCCAAAUGCCCUUCAGUCCAAAGGCAGGAGCCUGAAACUCAAUCUAAGCCUUCCACAUGGGUGGCAAGGAUCCACCUGCUGCUUCCCAGGAAGCUGGAAUCUGAAGUGGAGCUGGGACUUGAACCCAGGCACUCCGAUGUGGGAUAUGGCAUCUUAACCACUAUACCAAUUGCCCACACCAAGGAUAGAGGGCUGCUCAAGAGAAACUCUUUGAACUAAUAAAUAAUUUUAUCUAAAUAUAUGUUACA
Molecule: long non-coding RNA, 1250 nt
Filed under: Oryctolagus cuniculus (rabbit)
Lineage: Eukaryota; Metazoa; Chordata; Mammalia; Lagomorpha; Leporidae
Description: lncRNA (ENSOCUG00000038009.1)
Source: RNAcentral